This 551-nucleotide ribosomal RNA is filed under the name uncultured bacterium. Its description in RNAcentral is "bacterial SSU rRNA". It matches the Rfam family "Bacterial small subunit ribosomal RNA", at positions 353 to 896 of the family's 1533-position model. The record is from RNAcentral.
AGUGGGGAAUAUUGGACAAUGGGCGAAAGCCUGAUCCAGCCAUGCCGCGUGUGUGAAGAGGGCUUUCGGGUUGUAAAGCACUUUCAGUGGGGAAGAAAUCCUCGGGGCCAAUACCCUCGAGGGAGGACAUCACCCACAGAAGAAGCACCGGCUAACUCCGUGCCAGCAGCCGCGGUAAUACGGAGGGUGCGAGCGUUAAUCGGAAUUACUGGGCGUAAAGCGCGCGUAGGCGGCGUGAUAAGCCGGUUGUGAAAGCCCCGGGCUCAACCUGGGAACGGCAUCCGGAACUGUCAGGCUAGAGUGCAGGAGAGGAAGGUAGAAUUCCCGGUGUAGCGGUGAAAUGCGUAGAGAUCGGGAGGAAUACCAGUGGCGAAGGCGGCCUUCUGGACUGACACUGACGCUGAGGUGCGAAAGCGUGGGUAGCAAACAGGAUUAGAUACCCUGGUAGUCCACGCCGUAAACGAUGUCGACUAGCCGUUGGGGUCCUUGUGACCUUUGUGGCGCAGUUAACGCGAUAAGUCGACCGCCUGGGGAGUACGGCCGCAAGGUUA